RNAcentral lists this ribosomal RNA (286 nucleotides) under Enterococcus faecalis. RNAcentral describes it as "partial 16S ribosomal RNA". It matches the Rfam family "Bacterial small subunit ribosomal RNA", at positions 445 to 730 of the family's 1533-position model. The record is from RNAcentral. Lineage: Bacteria; Bacillati; Bacillota; Bacilli; Lactobacillales; Enterococcaceae.
AGGACGUUAGUAACUGAACGUCCCCUGACGGUAUCUAACCAGAAAGCCACGGCUAACUACGUGCCAGCAGCCGCGGUAAUACGUAGGUGGCAAGCGUUGUCCGGAUUUAUUGGGCGUAAAGCGAGCGCAGGCGGUUUCUUAAGUCUGAUGUGAAAGCCCCCGGCUCAACCGGGGAGGGUCAUUGGAAACUGGGAGACUUGAGUGCAGAAGAGGAGAGUGGAAUUCCAUGUGUAGCGGUGAAAUGCGUAGAUAUAUGGAGGAACACCAGUGGCGAAGGCGGCUCUCU